AGGAGUGGAGCCUGCGGCUUAAUUUGACUCAACACGGGAAACCUCACCAGGCCCGGACACCGGAAGGAUUGACAGAUUGAGAGCUCUUUCUUGAUUCGGUGGGUGGUGGUGCAUGGCCGUUCUUAGUUGGUGGAGCGAUUUGUCUGGUUAAUUCCGAUAACGAACGAGACUCUAGCCUGCUAACUAGGCGUAUUUUCGACAUCUCAAAGGCCCGCCGGCCCGGCGCGCGCCGCGGACGCGCGCGGUUUUUACUGUCGGCGUACAAUUUAUUCUUCUUAGAGGGACAGGCGGCUUCUAGCCGCACGAGAUUGAGCAAUAACAGGUCUGUGAUGCCCUUAGAUGUUCUGGGCCG
Molecule: ribosomal RNA, 352 nt
Filed under: Anoplotrupes stercorosus
Lineage: Eukaryota; Metazoa; Arthropoda; Insecta; Coleoptera; Geotrupidae
Description: SSU rRNA
Rfam family: Eukaryotic small subunit ribosomal RNA
Source: RNAcentral